CUUUGUUUUCUUCUGAAAAAUUUUCUGUUUCGACCUAAGCUUUUGCUGUAUCUGUAAAGGACAGUGAUUUAAGUGUGGUUUGAAGUGCAGUCAAUUAGGUGAGAAGUGUUUCUUGAGUUCUAUCUUUGUGUUUGUAAACUGUUGGAUGCAGUCUUUUUUGUAGUGAGAUGCAAGGCUAAUAAGUUUUACUCUAAUUACGUUCUUAUUUGCCUUCAAUAAUAUAUGAACGGGGGUGGGUGAAUGGAGACGUAUUAAUGGCCCACCGAUUUAUA
Molecule: non-coding RNA, 272 nt
Organism: Pelobates cultripes (western spadefoot toad)
Lineage: Eukaryota; Metazoa; Chordata; Amphibia; Anura; Pelobatidae
Source: the annotation of a GenBank genome assembly